This 448-nucleotide ribosomal RNA is filed under the name uncultured bacterium. RNAcentral describes it as "partial 16S ribosomal RNA". It matches the Rfam family "Bacterial small subunit ribosomal RNA", at positions 330 to 793 of the family's 1533-position model. The record is from RNAcentral.
UCCAGACUCCUACGGGAGGCAGCAGUGGGGAAUAUUGGGCAAUGGACGCAAGUCUGACCCAGCAACGCCGCGUGAAGGAAGAAGGCUUUCGGGUUGUAAACUUCUUUUAAGGGGGAAGAGCAGAAGACGGUACCCCUUGAAUAAGCCACGGCUAACUACGUGCCAGCAGCCGCGGUAAUACGUAGGUGGCAAGCGUUGUCCGGAUUUACUGGGUGUAAAGGGCGUGCAGCCGGGCUGACAAGUCAGAUGUGAAAUCCCGCGGCUCAACCGCGGAACUGCAUUUGAAACUGUCAGUCUUGAGUACCGGAGAGGUCAUCGGAAUUCCUUGUGUAGCGGUGAAAUGCGUAGAUAUAAGGAAGAACACCAGUGGCGAAGGCGAUUCUCUGGACUGUAACUGACGCUGAGGCUCGAAAGCGUGGGGAGCAAACAGGAUUAGAUACCCCAGUAU